Molecule: long non-coding RNA, 1763 nt
Organism: Rosa rugosa (rugosa rose)
Lineage: Eukaryota; Viridiplantae; Streptophyta; Magnoliopsida; Rosales; Rosaceae
Exons: 3
Source: RefSeq, a predicted model, not a curated record
ACACUUUGACAAUUUCAGAGGCUGAAGAGCCAGCCUGCCUCUCUCUCUUCCCACGGUUCUCUUCAACAAACCCGACCCCGACAAACCAAAACAAAAACCAACUUUACCUCAGAUCCCUUCCCAUCCUCUCUCUCUCAAUCGCAUUCACUUUCCUUCAACAACAACGAGACUAGGGUUUCAUUGUUAGGCCUCCGAUGUCCCUUCCAGAUCCCCAUUCACUCUGCUGAAUUCGAAAUCCCCAAUUUCCUGUACCAUUCACUCUCGAGCAUGGCUUCCACGAUUGGCUCUCCAAGCAGUUCAUCCUCGUCGAGGCUGCCAUCGUCAUCGUCACCAGUGGAUGCUGCUAUUGGCGGCAUCAUGGGUACUUUUACCGGCGACAUUUCCUCCUCUCUCCCCACUCCUCUCGUCGUCUCCUUUAUUGUUUUGAUUUGGAUUUGUCAGCUUUCGCUCUUCUUUACUGUUUCAAUUCACUGAGAUGCAAAAUUUAGGGUUCUGAUAUUCAUAAGCAGAUCUUAAAAUUGUGCACUCUACUCACCGGAGUUUAACAAAGACUCGGAUCUCCAUCUCCGACCAAGGAUUCCUAGCCUUUCGAGAGAAAAGAGCAAGGUUCCUAGCCUUUCGAGAGACAACGGUGACAUUGCUGAUUUGCUGCCUUGCUGUCAAAGGCGCCGGCUCUUCACUCUUGGUUUGCUCGCUUUGACUCUUCUUCAAGCUGUCAAGCAAUAAAGCAGAAGACUUGGUUCAAUUUCUGGGUUCUUCAAGCUCAGUGAGUCUCUGAAUCUCUUGUUAAGUUGCUGGGCUUUGGUGUUUCUGAUUCUUGGAGCUAUUUGGCUGUUUUGACUAGUAUAUAGAACCGUUGAUUAGUAUAUAGAACCAUUGUUUAAAAAUCAUAUCUAUUGCUAACAUUGUAUUUCAGAUUUUCAAUUGGUCUUGGUUUUCGAUUAUUGUGUGGAUCAAGUUUAGUUCAAUAUGUCUUUUCUGUUUUAUGUGUAUUUUGGAAUUUUUUGCUCUUAAUUGAUUUCUCCUAUAGACAUUUUAUUGUUUUUUUUAGUUUGCUCAAUGCCUUGGUUCAUGUCCAGAUUCUAGGAAAUAAAUUGAUGGUUUGAUAUGAUUUUUGUUGUCUCAGACACAGAGAAGUUCUAUACUGAAGUCCAGGAAAUUAUACUUGCUAGGUACAAUAAAACUUUUGAUUGGGCUUUGAAAGCAAAAAUGAUGGAAAGAAAGCAAUAGAAGCUGCUUGGGUCUUUGUUGAAGACACUGGACUUAGUGACUCUCUUACUGGCUACUUCUGAGGACUUUCUGGUUGAAAGAGAGGCAAUGUUGCAGAAAUUGUUUCCAACAAGCGAGCUGAUGCCAGGUGUGGGAUGCAACUGCAGCUGAUCCUAAAUUGCUGGUCUUUUUGAAAUCGUACAGGAAUUUCUUACACAUUGAAUCUGGUAAUUAGAUCUACCUAGCAUAACGUACUUCCUUUUUUCUAUUACUUUGUUUGGCAUACCCCUUUUGCUCAUACUAAUUUGAUGGUGUGAGUAUGUUCUCUAUGAAUAUAGGUUGGUUUCUUUAUUGUCAGUUACUCAAGUUUGAUUUCAACAACAAUGUCGACUAGUAUGAACUAUAAACAAGUUAGAACUUUGGUUAUGGGGGAUCAUGUAUUGGAGUGAUAAUUAUUUAUCACUUGGCUGUUUGAGAUUGGAUGGUAUAUCACUAGCUAUUAAUGUAAUGUGACAUGUGCACUCUGCAUAUGAUAGUUGUGCACUCUGCAUGGU